AUUUCGUGAUAAGGGCACUUCCGUAAUAAUUAUUUGUACCUUUCCCAUGCCUUAUACAAGGACUCAUCAUCCAUAUGUUGAAAAUCAGUGAUCUGGUUCCUCAACUU
This is a small nucleolar RNA of Gossypium raimondii (Peruvian cotton), 107 nucleotides long. NCBI's taxonomy places the organism in Eukaryota, Viridiplantae, Streptophyta, Magnoliopsida, Malvales, Malvaceae. The record is from RefSeq and is a predicted model, not a curated record.